Molecule: long non-coding RNA, 777 nt
Filed under: Capsella rubella
Lineage: Eukaryota; Viridiplantae; Streptophyta; Magnoliopsida; Brassicales; Brassicaceae
Description: long non-coding RNA (CRUB_LNC005117)
Source: RNAcentral
CAUGCGGCGCCAAUAAAUAAUUAUAUAAGUAUGUAGUUUAGUGUGGACCACAAAGAGAGUUCGAUGCUAGGUCCAGUUUGUUUUCAACAUAUUUAAAUUUAACACUUAUAUUUCAAAAAAAAAUAAAAACAUUUUGUAUGUUGUUAUUCAAAAUCAAAACUUUACUUAAAAAUUAUAAAAAACCUUAAAACCUAAGCGUUAAAUCUUUUAUAAUACGUGAUAACAUGUUGAACUUAUACACCACUGACGGACCACAAAGGGACUGAAUGCUCGGCCCAGUUUGUUUUCAACGUAUUAAAAUUUAACACUUAGAUUUAACCCAAAAAAAAUUAUUAAAAAUUAAAACUAUUUUUGCUUAAAAUUUGAUUAAAAAACCUUGAUAUGUAGUUGUAAAUCAGGAAAAUAGAAAUGAAAAACAUAAAAUCUUUUCUUCUUUAUGUAUAUUUUUAAAUCAAAAUCAAUUGCUCUUAAAUUUUUUAUUUUUUUUUUUAAGUUAGAAAAGUUGAAAUAUACCUGUGAUAUUUAAGUAUCCUGAGGGCUGAGGCGAGGCGACUCCAUCCGUGGUCGAACCUUGAGUCACCAUCGAACCUUGAGUCUCCACCCUGAACCUUGAGUCACCAUAAUAUAUAUAAUACGUGAAUCACAAGGCUGUAACAUGUUUGAUGAUGAACUAAAAAGUACACAAAAUGGCUUGCAUUUGCAUCAAUCCAAAAUCGUAUAUGCAUAUACACACACCUAUGAGAUUCAGUUCUUUAAGUUGCAGACUGGUAAUAAUAA